AUGCUGGAGGAUGAAGAUGAGGCGGACCCGGUUGACCCGGCGCGAGCCCUUGUUGGGAAGGUACUGGCCUCCAAUGUUCUUCACAUCCAGACUAUCUCUGCGGCCAUGAGGCCGGCCUGGGGCAACCCGAAAGGACGGCAGCUCCACCUUGCAGGGGAUAACAUCUUUGUUCCUGAAUUUGGGUCGCAAGCGGACCGUGCUCGUGUGAUGAAUGGUUCUCCAUGGACGGUGGGGAAACAUGCUGUACUUCUGAAGCUUUUUGAUGCGGACACCCAGCCGCUUCAGGUCAAGAUUGAUCACCUGGCUGCAUGGGCUAGGAUCUUAGCACUUCCACCAAGAUUGAUGAAAGUGAAAUUUGAAAUGGAGUUUGCUAAGCCAAUUGGCAAGAUCAUUCAUGUGGAAUCAGAUGCUGAUGGCUGA
RNAcentral lists this ribosomal RNA (420 nucleotides) under Triticum aestivum (bread wheat). Its description in RNAcentral is "partial small subunit ribosomal RNA". Lineage: Eukaryota; Viridiplantae; Streptophyta; Magnoliopsida; Poales; Poaceae. The record is from RNAcentral.